UAGAGUUUGAUCCUGGCUCAGGAUGAACGCUAGCGGCAGGCCUAACACAUGCAAGUCGAACGGUAACAUGAGUGCUUGCACUUGAUGACGAGUGGCGCACGGGUGCGUAACGCGUAUGCAACUUACCCCAAACUGGAGAAUAGCCUUUAGAAAUGAAGAAUAAUACUCCAUAGUAUUCCAAAGAGGCAUCUCUUUGGUCUUAAAGCUUCGGCGGUUUGGGAUGGGCAUGCGUUCUAUUAGUUAGUUGGUGAGGUAACGGCUCACCAAGACCACGAUAGAUAGGGGGCCUGAGAGGGUUAUCCCCCACACUGGUACUGAGACACGGACCAGACUCCUACGGGAGGCAGCAGUGAGGAAUAUUGCACAAUGGACGAAAGUCUGAUGCAGCCAUGCCGCGUGCAGGAUGAAUGCCCUACGGGUUGUAAACUGCUUUUAUAUAGGAAGAAACCUCUGAACGUGUUCAGGGCUGACGGUACUAUAAGAAUAAGGACCGGCUAACUCCGUGCCAGCAGCCGCGGUAAUACGGAGGGUCCAAGCGUUAUCCGGAUUUAUUGGGUUUAAAGGGUCCGUAGGCGGGAAAUUAAGUCAGUGGUGAAAGCCUACAGCUCAACUGUAGAACUGCCAUUGAAACUGAUUUUCUUGAAUAUAGAUGAAGUGGGCGGAAUAUAUCAUGUAGCGGUGAAAUGCAUAGAUAUGAUAUAGAACACCGAUUGCGAAGGCAGCUCACUAAACUAUUAUUGACGCUGAGGGACGAAAGCGUGGGGAGCGAACAGGAUUAGAUACCCUGGUAGUCCACGCCGUAAACGAUGAUUACUCGAUGUUGGCGAUAUAUUGUCAGUGUUUUAGAGAAAUCGUUAAGUGAUCCACCUGGGGAGUACGUUCGCAAGAAUGAAACUCAAAGGAAUUGACGGGGGCCCGCACAAGCGGUGGAGCAUGUGGUUUAAUUCGAUGAUACGCGAGGAACCUUACCAAGACUUAAAUGUAUUUUGACAGAUUGAGAAAUCAACUUUUCUUCGGACAAUUUACAAGGUGCUGCAUGGUUGUCGUCAGCUCGUGCCGUGAGGUGUCGGGUUAAGUCCCAUAACGAGCGCAACCCCUAUUUUUAGUUGCCAGCGAGUAAUGUCGGGAACUCUAGAAAGACUGCCUGUGUAAACAGUGAGGAAGGUGGGGAUGACGUCAAAUCAUCACGGCCCUUAUGUCUUGGGCUACACACGUGCUACAAUGGUUACUACAGUGGGAUGCCAUCUGGCAACAGAGAGCAAAUCCAUAAAGGUAAUCCCAGUUCGGAUCGGAGUCUGCAACUCGACUCUGUGAAGUUGGAAUCGCUAGUAAUCGUAUAUCAGCAAUGAUACGGUGAAUACGUUCCCGGGCCUUGUACACACCGCCCGUCAAGCCAUGGAAGUUUGUGGUGCCUGAAGUCAGUAACCGAAAGGAUCUGCCUAGGGUAAAACAGAUAAUCUAGGGCUAAGUCGUAACAAGGUAACCA
Molecule: ribosomal RNA, 1486 nt
Filed under: uncultured prokaryote
Description: partial 16S ribosomal RNA
Rfam family: Bacterial small subunit ribosomal RNA
Source: RNAcentral